UAAACUAGGAUUAGAUACCCUAUUAUUUAAAAUGUAAUUUUAAAUAUUAAAUUAGUAUUAGUUAUUUUCUUGAAAAUUAAAAAAUUUGGCGGUAUUUUAGUCUUUUCAGAGGAAUCUGUCCUGUAAUUGAUAGUCCACGAAUAUACAUACUUUAUUUUUUAAUUUAUAUAUCGUCGUAGUUGAAUAUUUUAUUAGAAUAAUAAUAUUCGUAAUUUUUAAUUAAAAAAUAAAUCAGAUCAAGGUGUAGUUUAUAGUAAAGAAGAGAUGGAUUACAAUAAGUUUACUUAAGGAUAAUUUUUAUUAUAAAAAUUUGAAUUUGGAUUUGAAAGUAAUAUUAAAUAUAUUUUUAAAAUGAUUAUAGCUCUAAAAUAUGUACACAUCGCCCGUCGCUCUUAA
Molecule: ribosomal RNA, 396 nt
Filed under: Acanthoscelides sanblas
Lineage: Eukaryota; Metazoa; Arthropoda; Insecta; Coleoptera; Chrysomelidae
Description: partial 12S small subunit ribosomal RNA
Source: RNAcentral